CAGGAAGGCAGUGAGGGAGUCCCCGGGCACAGACAUGGACACAAAAUGCCCAUCGGGGUCAUCCGCCGGCCUGAACUGAACCAGAGGAGCUGCUCCCUGCUGGUAAUUGAGAAGAAUGCAAGUUUAAGGUUUUCAGACCUGGAAGUGAGACUCUAACUGGCAGAGUCUUCUGCAUGGCCGUGAUGGGCUCGCUGGGUGUCAGUCCCUUCAAGGCAAACAGAACGAUUUGGUACUCUGUAUCUGCCGAGAGACCUCGGACCACCACCGA
Molecule: long non-coding RNA, 268 nt
Organism: Oreochromis aureus
Lineage: Eukaryota; Metazoa; Chordata; Actinopteri; Cichliformes; Cichlidae
Exons: 3
Source: RefSeq, a predicted model, not a curated record